Molecule: ribosomal RNA, 375 nt
Filed under: uncultured bacterium
Lineage: Bacteria
Description: bacterial SSU rRNA
Rfam family: Bacterial small subunit ribosomal RNA
Source: RNAcentral
GACGAACCGUGCGAACGUUGUUCGGAAUCACUGGGCUUAAAGGGCGCGUAGGCGGGCUGUCAAGUCCGGGGUGAAAUCUUUCGGCUCAACCGGGAAAGUGCCUUGGAUACUGAUGGUCUGGAGGGAGGUAGGGGUAUGUGGAACUUCCGGUGGAGCGGUGAAAUGCGUUGAUAUCGGAAGGAACGCCGGUGGCGAAAGCGACGUACUGGACCUCUUCUGACGCUGAGGCGCGAAAGCUAGGGGAGCGAACGGGAUUAGAUACCCCGGUAGUCCUAGCCCUAAACGUUGGGUACUAGGUAGUAGACUUAACAUGGGUUUACUGCCGAAGCAAAAGUGUUAAGUACCCCGCCUGGGGAGUAUGGUCGCAAGGCUGAA